CGUAAUAAGGUGAUGGCGACCGGCGCACGGGUGAGUACACGUAUCCAACCUGCCGAUAACUCGGGGAUAGCCUUUCGAAAGAAAGAUUAAUACCCGAUGGUAUAAUAAAGCCGCAUGGUUUAAUUAUUAAAGAAUUUCGGUUAUCGAUGGGGAUGCGUUCCAUUAGAUAGUAGGCGGGGUAACGGCCCACCUAGUCUUCGAUGGAUAGGGGUUCUGAGAGGAAGGUCCCCCACAUUGGAACUGAGACACGGUCCAA
RNAcentral lists this ribosomal RNA (256 nucleotides) under uncultured bacterium. RNAcentral's name for it is "partial 16S ribosomal RNA". It matches the Rfam family "Bacterial small subunit ribosomal RNA", at positions 76 to 334 of the family's 1533-position model. The record is from RNAcentral.